AUAAUAAUUAGGUUUUUAAUUGAAAUCUAGAAUGAAUGAUUGGACGAGAUACAGGCUGUUUUAUAAUAAUUAAUUAAAACUUAAUUUUUUAGUCAAAAAGCUAAAAUUUUAUUAAAAGACGAGAAGACCCUAUAAAUCUUUAUAAUAAAUUUAUUUUAAUAAAUUAUUUUAUUUAAAUUAAUAGUUUUAAUAAUAAAUUAUUUUAUUGGGGUGAUACAAAAAUUUGAUAAACUUUUUUAUUAAUAUUACUUAAAUUAAAGAUUUAUAAAAAUAUGAUCUACUAUUAGUAAUUCAAAGAAUAAGAUACUUUAGGGAUAACAGCGUAAUUUUAAUUUUAAGUUCUCAUUAAAAUUAGAGAUUGC
RNAcentral lists this ribosomal RNA (362 nucleotides) under Ecclisopteryx keroveci. Its description in RNAcentral is "partial 16S ribosomal RNA". Lineage: Eukaryota; Metazoa; Arthropoda; Insecta; Trichoptera; Limnephilidae. The record is from RNAcentral.